Molecule: long non-coding RNA, 2976 nt
Filed under: Homo sapiens (human)
Lineage: Eukaryota; Metazoa; Chordata; Mammalia; Primates; Hominidae
Description: HSALNT0026531
Source: RNAcentral
UUAUUACUCAAUCAUCUAUGAACUUCAUGUAAAACUCAAGGUGGGGAACACCAAACUAAAUGGCCUAUAAAGUUCCUUCCUGCUUUCAGGUUCUGUGACGCUGGAAUCCAUCAUCAAGCUCUUACCACACUUCAUAAUCUAUUAAAUUAUUUACAAAGUCUAUUUAUAGCCUCCUGUUCCUGAAAUUGAGUUAAGGAAUCUUACAACAAAAGGUCUUUAAGUAAGACUAAAUAUCUACGAUAGACAUUGACGUGGAAAAGCAAGACUGAUUCAUUCCUUCACAUUCAUUAGUCUGUUAGGUGCCUUCUCCAGUCAGCUAGUUACCUAGUUAAACUCUGAGGGAAUGGAGACAAUUAAGUUUGGAGGAAGAGGCUCACAUCACAUGAGACCUGUCACUGGGGUGGUGGGAGGAGGGCCGGCGGAGGGGGUUGGCACCAAGAUUCCCCGGGCAGGCAGAGCACAUGAGCUCCCGCAGGGCACGCUGAAAAGAAGCAGGGCGGUGCCAGACAGAGGGCCAGCCGACUUCCAGCCUCCUCAACGAUGUUGCUUAAGGCUGGCUUUGUGUGCGUGCAAAUCAUUCAGAUAAUUGCUGUAAUUCUGUGCUUAGCUUGGCUGCUAAGACCCUUGGUUCAUGAAUAUUCAUAAGCUCUAUCCACACUCCACUAUUACUUAAAUUUUCCUAGACAGCUUUCAUGCUGAGCAUGCCAGCCUGUUUGUGCUGGAGAUGGUGAUGGUGAUGAUUUCUUGUCUGGGUGGAAGCAGGCUCAGCGAGGCCCAGGGACACUUCCCUUUGCCCGCCCACCCAUGUAUUUGAGCAGAAAAGGUACUCUUGCUAAGACAGCCCUGCUUCUCUGCAGGUUUCCUCUUACACAUGGAUUCUAUUCAUUCACCGUUUAUUGAGCUCUGUGCCAGGCACUGUGCUAGAUGCCGGAGCUCCUGCGUAGAAGACCGAUACCAAAGCCCAGCUGCAGCAGAACUAACACAUCUACUCCCAACAUUGAGCCCUCCACUUGCCUGGGCGACCACCACCGAGGAUGGGAAAGGAUGACAUUGGAAGGGAAUUUGCAGCCCUCCUGAUCUCCAGUGAUGAAGGCUAAAUGAGACAAUAUACGUCAUGCAUCUUGCACUUCCUGCCACACAGAGCUUCCAUGGAUACUGAAAGAUCAGCUGACACGUGCCUUCAAGGCUAAAAUGAAUGUGGAUAUCAAUAGUGAUGAGAAGAAAUGGUCUAAAAUAAAGAAACAGCAUGUGCAAAAGUGAAGAUUAUGAUGCUAUGUCAGUUACCUUCAGGACCCAAUUGUAGCCACUUCAGCUGGCCCAGGCUUUCCCGAAAUGUGAAGACAGCAAACUCCCACUCUUCCUCCUGCAGACUGGUGGCAAAAACACAAAGUCCACUUGAGACCAUGAAGUCCAAGGAUCUUUUCUUAUUCCUGGAAUAUACUAGGAAAAAUACAGGCACCGUGCAGCGGGUGCUGUGUUCUAGCUGCUCUGUUAACUGCCAGUUACCUCAUUUGAUCCUGAUGACAACCCUUGGGUAGGUAUUGUGGUUACCUCCAUUCUAUCUCUGGAAGAACUAAGAAUGGAGGUUAAGUAACUUUCCUGAGGCUCCUUAGCUAAGUCUCUAGGACUGGAAUGGAGCCAGGCAGCCUGACUCAAGAGCCCCACUGAGUGCUCCUCCACAGAGGACACAGCUUCUGCACCCCUGCAGGGAGAGGCCCCAACCACAGGAUUGAUAUGGGGAAAAGUGGCCUUAUUUGGCUUUUAAUGAAUUACUCUACCUCCCUUGAUUUCAAAAUAAAGGAGAAGGCUUAGAUCUUGAGAAUCCAUUUGGAUUCAGUGUAAGAAUAACCAUAGUUUGUAUCCUGGCUGGGCUGCUUACCAGGUUCAAGAUAAAAAGAAACAACAAUGAAUCCAACAAAUCAACAAAGCACAAAGUCCAACAACAAAAAAACAAACAAAGAAAAGAAAAAGAAGGGCAAACUGGUCUGAGUUUGAGUUCUUGCUCUUCUCUGAGGGAGUUUGGGCCACCUUUUAGCUGCAGUGUGUCUUGGUUUCCUUACGGGUAAAAUGGGUAUGUUCAUAACUUCUGUGGCCAUUGCACAGUCCAAGAGGGCUGCACUUCCCUUCCCACAUGUGCUUCUUCUGCUGUGGAGCUUACAUUGCUCCCUGGAGCAGAUACCUAAAGAUGUGGGAGUGAGUGAGCCUCCCAGUGGUUCUAUGCCCAGCCUUUAAGCUGGCCCAGCUGACACCAAAUGGAACAGGGCUGACUUGCCAUUUCUCAGCCCAAAGCACAUCAUAAAUGUGUGAGCAAAAUAUCAGGUGCAGUGGCUCACACAUGUAAUCCCAGUGCUUUGGGAGGCUACAAUGGGAAGAUUGCUUGAGCCCAGGGGUUUAAGGCCAGUCUGGACAACAUCAUGAGCCCCCAUCUAUAUUAGUCUGUUUCACACUGCUGAUAAAGACAUACCUGAGAAUGGACAAUUUACAAAAGAAAGAGGUUUAAUUGGAUUUACAGUUCCACGUGGCUGGGGAAGCCUCAUAAUCAUGGUGAACAGCAAGGAGGAGCAAGUCACAUCUUACAUGGAUGGUGGCAGGCAAAGACAGAGUAAGAGCCAAGCAAAAGGGGUUUCUCCUCAUAAAACCAUCAGACCUCGUGAGACCUAUUCACUAUCAUGAGAACAGUAUGGGGGAAACUGCCACCAUGAUUCAACUAUCUCCCACCAGGUCCCUCCCACAACAAUGGGAAUUAUGGGAGAUACAACUCAAGAUGAGAUCUGGGUGGGGACACAGCCAAACCACAUCACCAUCUCUAUAAAAAAAUACAAAAAAGUUAGCUGGGCAUGGUGGCACUUGCCUGUGGUCCCAGGCACUCUGAAGGCUGAGAUGGGAGGAUUGCUUAAGCCCAGUUGGUCAGGACUGCCACUGCACACCAGCCUGAUUGACAAGAGUGAGACCCUGUCUCAGAAAUAAAUAAAUAAA